UACGUAGGGGGGCGAGCGUUUGUCCGGAUUCAUUGGGCGUAAAGAGCUCGUAGGCGGCUUGUUAAGUCUGUCGUGAAAUCUCCCGGCUUAACCGGGAUAGGUCGACGGAUACUGGCAGGCUUGAGGGGAGCAGAGGAAGGUGGAAUUCCCCGGUGUAGUGGUGAAAUGCGUAGAUAUCGGGAGGAACACCAGUGGCGAAGGCGGCCUUCUGAGCUCAACCUGACGCUGAUACGCGAAAGCGUGGGGAGCGAACCGG
Molecule: ribosomal RNA, 256 nt
Filed under: uncultured bacterium
Lineage: Bacteria
Description: partial 16S ribosomal RNA
Rfam family: Bacterial small subunit ribosomal RNA
Source: RNAcentral